CUGGAACUUGCAUGAAGGUGCGGUUUGUUGUUUUGUUGUUAGUAUAAUUCACCUGCAGUCUAUCAGUUGUGGUUAAAGCAGAAAGAUGGAGUGCACAAGAGGAGGAAGAGCCCAGUUGUCUGCAAGGCUGGCCAACAUGAGAGACUGAUUUUCAGCAGCUGGAUUUGCAUCUCCCUGCUCCCAAAGCCUGUUGAAGCCCACACCAGGUCCAACUGAAGCCAGAGGAGGAAAGUGUACAGCCUGAUCAGGUGUGCAAGCAGCCAUGUUGUUUGUGUCACUUUUGGAGAUGCUACUCUGAAGUAGAAAGCUAGAAAUUAAGCAGCAGAUUCAGCAGGUCCUUGAGGACAUGUGCAGUCUGUUAGGGUGAGUCUGAAUUUUGAGCAAUUAUUAUCUAAA
Molecule: long non-coding RNA, 396 nt
Filed under: Crocodylus porosus (Australian saltwater crocodile)
Lineage: Eukaryota; Metazoa; Chordata; Crocodylia; Crocodylidae
Description: lncRNA (ENSCPRG00005016851.1)
Source: RNAcentral